RNAcentral lists this ribosomal RNA (510 nucleotides) under uncultured bacterium. RNAcentral's name for it is "partial 16S ribosomal RNA". It matches the Rfam family "Bacterial small subunit ribosomal RNA", at positions 28 to 507 of the family's 1533-position model. The record is from RNAcentral.
GACGAACGCUGGCGGCGUGCUUAACACAUGCCAGUCGAACGAAGAGCGAUGGAAGCUUGCUUCUAUCAAUCUUAGUGGCGAACGGGUGAGUAACGCGUAAUCAACCUGCCCUUCAGAGGGGGACAACAGUUGGAAACGACUGCUAAUACCGCAUACGAUCUAAUCUCGGCAUCGAGGAUAGAUGAAAGGUGGCCUCUACAUGUAAGCUAUCACUGAAGGAGAGGAUUGCGUCUGAUUAGCUAGUUGGAGGGGUAACGGCCCACCAAGGCGAUGAUCAGUAGCCGGUCUGAGAGGAUGAACGGCCACAUUGGGACUGAGACACGGCCCAGACUCCUACGGGAGGCAGCAGUGGGGAAUCUUCCGCAAUGGACGAAAGUCUGACGGAGCAACGCCGCGUGAGUGAUGACGGCCUUCGGGUUGUAAAGCUCUGUUAAUCGGGACGAAAGGCCUUCUUGCGAAUAGUGAGAAGGAUUGACGGUACCGGAAUAGAAAGCCACGGCUAACUACGUG